This 239-nucleotide long non-coding RNA is filed under the name Elaeis guineensis (African oil palm). RNAcentral describes it as "long non-coding RNA (EGUI_LNC017348)". The record is from RNAcentral. Lineage: Eukaryota; Viridiplantae; Streptophyta; Magnoliopsida; Arecales; Arecaceae.
GUCAUUCAGAAAACUUGCGCGAAAAAAUACUCAACCAGUGCAGAGCUCUUCCGGUACUCCUCUAGGACAAGUCCAGAAGGAAUAACAUAAAAGCGAAAACUGGUAAAGUAUUUUUUCUUUUCUUUGUUUCUUGGCUAGAAGACCAUGUAAUUUGAGUUUGUUGUCUAUAUCCUCAAAUGCUUUGUAAUGUCUUGCGUACCUUCCUGGUGCAAUUUUCACAUUGAGUACUUGGGCACACA